Molecule: ribosomal RNA, 392 nt
Filed under: uncultured bacterium
Lineage: Bacteria
Description: partial 16S ribosomal RNA
Rfam family: Bacterial small subunit ribosomal RNA
Source: RNAcentral
AUACGGAGGAUCCGAGCGUUAUCCGGAUUUAUUGGGUUUAAAGGGUGCGCAGGCGGCCAUUUAAGUCAGCGGUUAAAUCGUGGGGCUCAACCCCAUUCUGCCGUUGAUACUGGGUGGCUUGAUUGCGGUCGAGGUUGGCGGAAUUCGUUGUGUAGCGGUGAAAUGCAUAGAUAUGACGAAGAACACCGAUUGCGUAGGCAGCUGACCAGACCGCAAAUGACGCUCAUGCACGAAAGUGCGGGGAUCGAACAGGAUUAGAUACCCUGAUAGUCCGCACAGUAAACGAUGAAUACUUGUUUUCGGCGAUAUAAUGUCGGAGGCAAAGCGAAAGCGAUAAGUAUUCCACCUGGGGAGUACGCCGGCAACGGUGAAACUCAAAUGAAUUGACGGGG